UGUUGUCGAGUUUCACAAUCAAUAAGUAUCUCUACAAGAAGAUCAAGAGGAACAUGCAUCGCAGAAGCUACAACUCAAAUUGAUUCAAAUUCCACAGGUAAACCAGCAAGAAUAAUACUAAUCUGUUCUUGCUCAGAAGCACCAUUCUCUGCAGCCAUUAGAGUGUCACAGAGGCUUUUAAUCUUGGUCAGAUAUUCUUUCACAGUUAACUGACCUUUUUUUUAGAGUACAAAGAAUGUCUCAAGGUAAAGACUGUCAAAGUAGAUUUUGAAACAAAAUGACGCACUACAGUAUUCCAGACAUCAAAGUUCGA
This 313-nucleotide long non-coding RNA is filed under the name Gossypium barbadense (sea-island cotton). Its description in RNAcentral is "long non-coding RNA (GBAR_LNC004220)". Lineage: Eukaryota; Viridiplantae; Streptophyta; Magnoliopsida; Malvales; Malvaceae. The record is from RNAcentral.